ACUUAAAUUGAAGAGUUUGAUCAUGGCUCAGAUUGAACGCUGGCGGCAGGCCUAACACAUGCAAGUCGAGCGGUAGCACAGAGAGCUUGCUCUCGGGUGACGAGCGGCGGACGGGUGAGUAAUGUCUGGGAAACUGCCUGAUGGAGGGGGAUAACUACUGGAAACGGUAGCUAAUACCGCAUAACGUCGCAAGACCAAAGUGGGGGACCUUCGGGCCUCAUGCCAUCAGAUGUGCCCAGAUGGGAUUAGCUAGUAGGUGGGGUAACGGCUCACCUAGGCGACGAUCCCUAGCUGGUCUGAGA
This 302-nucleotide ribosomal RNA is filed under the name Klebsiella pneumoniae. RNAcentral describes it as "partial 16S ribosomal RNA". It matches the Rfam family "Bacterial small subunit ribosomal RNA", at positions 1 to 297 of the family's 1533-position model. Lineage: Bacteria; Pseudomonadati; Pseudomonadota; Gammaproteobacteria; Enterobacterales; Enterobacteriaceae. The record is from RNAcentral.